This 1494-nucleotide ribosomal RNA is filed under the name uncultured bacterium. RNAcentral's name for it is "bacterial SSU rRNA". It matches the Rfam family "Bacterial small subunit ribosomal RNA". The record is from RNAcentral.
AGAGUUUGAUCCUGGCUCAGGACGAACGCUGGCGGCGUGCCUAACACAUGCAAGUCCGGGAGAACGGGGUAGCAAUAUCCCUAGUAAACCGGCGAACGGGUGAGUAACGCGUAGGUAACCUACCUUGUGAACGGGGAUAACUCCGGGAAACCGGGGCUAAUACCCGAUGCUGUCCGACUGCAGCAUUGCAGUUUGAUGAAAGAUCCCAAAAGGAUGUCGCAAGAUGGGCCUGCGUCCCAUUAGAUAGUUGGCGGGAUAACAGCCCACCAAGUCAACGAUGGGUAGCUGGUCUGAGAGGACGACCAGUCACACUGGAACUGAGACACGGUCCAGACUUCUACGGAAGGCAGCAGUGAGGAAUAUUGCUCAAUGGGCGAAAGCCUGAAGCAGCGACGCCGCGUGAAGGAUGAAAUUCUUUUAGAAUGUAAACUUCUUUUGCAGGGGAAGAAUGUGGCGCUUUAGCGCCAUUGACGGUACCCUGCGAAUAAGCACCGGCCAACUACGUGCCAGCAGCCGCGGUAAUACCUAGGGUGCAAGCGUUGUCCGGAAUUACUGGGUGUAAAGGGUCCGCCAGCGGGUAAGCAAGUCGGUGGUGAAAUCCUGCAACUCAACUGCAAAACUGCCCCCCGAACUGUUUAUCUUGAGUUCCAAAGAAGAUGAUGGAAUUCAUGGUGGUAGCGGUGAAAUGCUUAAAUUUCCUGAAAAAUAACCGGUUGCCAAAGCGGGCCUUCUGGCUCGAUAAGAUUAGAUACCUGGGUAGUCCACGCCUUAAACGAUGGAUGUUCGGUGUCGGUCCCGCUGAGUACUUGUGAUCAAGUACUGAGCGGGAUCGGUGCCUGAGCUAACGCGUUAAACAUCCCACCUGGGGAGUACGAUCGCAAGGUUGAAACUCAAAGGAAUUGACGGGGGCCCGCACAAGCAGUGGAGCAUGUGGUUCAAUUCGAUGCAACGCGAAGAACCUUACCUGGGUUUGAAAAGCUCUGUAAACCGGUGAAAGCCGGCUAGCGUAGCAAUACGCGCGGAGUACAGGUGCUGCAUGGCUGUCGUCAGCUCGUGCCGUGAGGUGUUAGGUUAAGUCCUGCAACGAGCGCAACCCCUGCACUUAGUUGCCAUCAGGUCAAGCUGGGCACUCUAAGUGGACUGCCUACGCAAGUAGUGAGGAAGGUGGGGAUGACGUCAAGUCCUCAUGGCCCUUACACCCAGGGCCACACACGUGCUACAAUGGACGCUACAAAGGGUUGCCAAACCGUAAGGUGGAGCCAAUCCCAGAAAAGCGUCCUCAGUUCGGAUUGGAGUCUGCAACUCGACUCCAUGAAGCUGGAAUUGCUAGUAAUCGCGUAUCAGCACGACGCGGUGAAUACGUUCCCGGGCCUUGUACACACCGCCCGUCAAGCCAUGGAAACUGGGGGUACCCGAAAACGCUAUACUAACCGCAAGGAAGAAGGCGUCUAAGGUAAAACCAGCGACUGGGGCUAAGUCGUAACAAGGUAGCCG